Papaver somniferum (opium poppy) is the source of this 153-nucleotide long non-coding RNA. RefSeq lists it as uncharacterized. Lineage: Eukaryota; Viridiplantae; Streptophyta; Magnoliopsida; Ranunculales; Papaveraceae. The record is from RefSeq and is a predicted model, not a curated record. The transcript has 3 exons.
GGAAGGUACACAUAUUAUGGUUUAUACCAUGUUGUUGGGUAUUGGGCUGAAAAAGGUGUUUAUGGAUAUACAAUAUACAAGUAUCGUCUCAAGCGCCUUGAGGGGCAGCCGAUACUGUCAACUAAUCAGAUGAGACGAGAGUGCAGAUUGAAA